This 347-nucleotide unclassified non-coding RNA is filed under the name soil metagenome. RNAcentral's name for it is "partial contains 5.8S ribosomal RNA, internal transcribed spacer 2, and large subunit ribosomal RNA". The stretch from base 1 to 119 matches the Rfam family "5.8S ribosomal RNA", at positions 35 to 154 of the family's 154-position model. The record is from RNAcentral.
GAUGAAGAACGCAGCGAAAUGCAAUAAGUAAUGCGAAUUGCAGAAUCCGUGAGUCAUCGAAUCUUUGAACGCACAUUGCGCCCUUUGGUAUUCCGAAGGGCAUGCCUGUUCGAGCGUCAUUAUCACCCCUCAAGCCCCGGCUUGGUGUUGGGCUCUCGGUGGUCGUCUCCGACCACCCGUCUCAAAGAUAGUGACGGCGUCCCAGAGGGAACCGGUACGAGGAGCUUUCACGAGCAUGUACGCGGGACGACUCUGCGGGCGACGGUCUUAUUUACUUUAUAUACAAGUGUUGACCUCGGAUCAGGUAGGAAUACCCGCUGAACUUAAGCAUAUCAAUAAGCGGAGGA